Molecule: microRNA precursor, 78 nt
Filed under: Fukomys damarensis (Damara mole-rat)
Lineage: Eukaryota; Metazoa; Chordata; Mammalia; Rodentia; Bathyergidae
Description: miRNA (ENSFDAG00000004415.1)
Source: RNAcentral
ACCUGGGGAUCUUGUUAAAUUGCAGCUGAUUUGGGUGGUGCCUAAGAUUCUGCAUCUUUAACAAGCUCCCAGGUGAUG